RNAcentral lists this ribosomal RNA (252 nucleotides) under uncultured bacterium. RNAcentral describes it as "partial 16S ribosomal RNA". It matches the Rfam family "Bacterial small subunit ribosomal RNA", at positions 524 to 775 of the family's 1533-position model. The record is from RNAcentral.
UACGUAGGGGGCAAGCGUUGUCCGGAAUCAUUGGGCGUAAAGAGCGUGUAGGCGGCUCGGUAAGUCCGCUGUGAAAGUCCAGGGCUCAACCCUGGAAUGCCGGUGGAAACUGUCGAGCUAGAGUCCGGAAGAGGCGAGUGGAAUUCCUGGUGUAGCGGUGAAAUGCGCAGAUAUCAGGAGGAACACCAAUAGCGAAGGCAGCUCGCUGGGACGUUACUGACACUGAGGCGCGAAAGCGUGGGGAGCGAACAG